ACUUCCUGAGUCGGAACGAAAAGUUGUCUGGAAUGCGUGUUCUGGAGGGCUUUUGGCUUACGGUUGUGAUGUUGUGUUGUUGUGUUUGCAAUUGGUCUGACAUUUCGGACCACGGUAGCUAAGCUACCCCUUUUCACUUCCUGUACAUUUACCCUGUCUGUCCAUAGUGAUUAAUGUAGCACCGCCGAAUGCGGUGCUUUUUUUU
This is a non-coding RNA of Cedecea davisae DSM 4568, 205 nucleotides long. The record is from Rfam. NCBI's taxonomy places the organism in Bacteria, Pseudomonadati, Pseudomonadota, Gammaproteobacteria, Enterobacterales, Enterobacteriaceae.